GAACGUGGCGGCGCGCAUAAUGCAUGCAAGUCGAACGAAGUCCCAUCCUUCGGGGUGAUGACUUAGUGGCAGACGGCUGAGUAACACGUGAGUGAUCUGCCUUUGGGUGAGGGACAACAGAGGGAAACUUCUGCUAAUACCUCAUACGAUCCAAGAUCUAGGGUCUUGGAUGAAAGGUGCCGGGUAACUGGUUGCCGCCCUUAGAUGAGCUCGCGGCCUAUCAGGUUGUUGGUGGGGUAAUGGCCUACCAAGCCUAAGACGGGUAGCUGGUGUGAGAGCACGACCAGUCAGAGGGGGACUGAGACACGGCCCCCACUCCUACGGGAGGCAGCAGCAGGGAAUCUUCCACAAUGGGCGAAAGCCUGAUGGAGCGACGCCGCGUGAGGGAUGAAGGCUCUAGGGUCGUAAACCUCUUUUCUUAGGGAAGAGCAAGGACGGUACCUAAGGAAUAAGUGACGGCUAACUACGUGCCAGCAGCCGCGGUAAUACGUAGGUCACAAACGUUGUCCGGAAUUAUUGGGCGUAAAGGGUCCGUAGGCGGUUCUGUAAGUCUCCUGUGAAAUCUUCAGGCUCAACUUGAAGAGGUCGGGGGAUACUGCUGAACUUGAGACUGACAGAGGCAAGUGGAAUUCCCGGUGUAGUGGUGAAAUGCGUAGAUAUCGGGAGGAACACCAAUGGCGAAAGCGGCUUGCUGGGUCAGUUCUGACGCUGAGGGACGAAAGCGUGGGUAGCAAACCGGAUUAGAUACCCGGGUAGUCCACGCCGUAAACGAUGAAUGCUAGGUUUUCGGGGUAUCGACCCCCUGGGAGCCGUAGUUAACGCGAUAAGCAUUCCGCCUGGGGACUAC
This 847-nucleotide ribosomal RNA is filed under the name uncultured Chloroflexota bacterium. RNAcentral describes it as "SSU rRNA". It matches the Rfam family "Bacterial small subunit ribosomal RNA", at positions 31 to 883 of the family's 1533-position model. The record is from RNAcentral. Lineage: Bacteria; Bacillati; Chloroflexota.